Etheostoma cragini (Arkansas darter) is the source of this 4052-nucleotide long non-coding RNA. RefSeq lists it as uncharacterized. The record is from RefSeq and is a predicted model, not a curated record. The transcript has 6 exons. Lineage: Eukaryota; Metazoa; Chordata; Actinopteri; Perciformes; Percidae.
UACUGGAAGCCCCUUCUCACUACAGGAAGUCACUGCAGUCAAUUUAGAAAACAUUGCUGUAUUGUGCAUUACAAAAUAACCAAAGAACAACUAAAAAUAACUUGUCAAAAAGGCUGAAGCAAGAGGGUGUGACUACAAUGCUAACAACAUGGGUACGUUAUCUUGGAAUAAUGCACGGACAUUCCCGAGCCCAAGUUUUCCUUAUUCUGCAAAAAUUGACAUGAACCAGCAUUUAUCAAGAAGUUGGGGUAGAAGGAUGUCUUGAGAAUCCCUUUAAAGGAGCCACGAGUGCGCCAAGGGAGCGGUGAGCAGCAUCCAGAGACCAGCACUCGUCCCCUGCCCAGAGUCUGAGGAGCAGGGAACUGAAGAGCUGAUGCGUUCAGAAGCCAGUAGGUCAUAGCUCUGUGCUGAAGCUCCAGGCAAACACUUCUCAGACAAACCAGAAAGGCCCUAUCUGGCUUUUAAUAUUGAUCACUUCGCACACAUUUACUCACACACAUCACAUGUCAGAGAAAUCAAUGAACAGACAAAUUUACGCUGGCUGUGCACCAAGUAUUUCUCGUAGUAUUUGUGUUUUUUAGUUGGUGUGAGUGUAUAUGCAUGACUUAGAAAAGAGGAGAGAGUUGAAAAGUUGAAGCCAGAAAGUUCUGUGAAGAUUUUUAACAAACGAUUGUGUGGUGGUGCUGGUGGGGGGGAUAUAUAGAGGGGAGGCAUAAAGGAGGCGUUGUCGGUAGGAGAAGAGAGGAGGGGAUUAGGGUUGGCGGUUCGCUGUCGAACCAGCAUCGAUACAACGGCAGCAUUUGCCUAAUCCCCUGGUAAUGGCAGCUUAGCAGCCUCCUCGGACACACAAACACUCCCACUGCCUCCUCCUCCGCUCUGCUCCUCUCUUCUCCUUUCCUGCCCUCUUCCCUCCUCAUUUACAUAACAUUAGAAACAUUAAGGCGGCUCCAACAAGGCCCCAUUAUGUGCGUGUUGGUUUUGGGUCCCAUUGCGACGGCCCAAAAGCUUUGGAGAGGAGAGGAGCAGAAUGAGUCAGGACAUCACAGAGGCUUGUCCAGUGUUUUGUCUGCUGGAGAUGGUUUGUGUGCCUUUAAAGGACUUAAUGAAAAGAGACGGAGAAAGAAAGGGAGAAAGUGAUUUUGUUUCUGAGAGAACAGAGCUAGUGAUCUGAUUGCAGAUGUGAGACCAAAACAUCAGCUCCAACAUCCUGAAGAUGGGAAAUUAACUUCAGAUAGGUGUUUUCUGUUUUUCUGAUAAUUAAUGAGGCUGGAGUAACAUCAAAAGCACCAUGACAAUGAUGUUUCAUGGACGGUUCUUGGCACCAGAGUUGUUUUUCAGAGCUGAAGUUCAGACAUCCUCAAGGUGACAGAACCGAUAAACAGAACUGAGCUGUUCACCUAACAAAGCCACUGUUUACUCAGUCUGCCACACAUGCACAUCUUUCUUACCAUGAAACUUCAAUUUAUUAUUAAAGACAGUAGCUUUUAAACCAUAAUAUUCUAGCUUCAAGUUUGAUAAUAAUAAAUGUGAUGACAUAUUCGACAAAAGUGGUGCAAAAUAGCUGUCUUUGAAACUGGAAAGAGAUCAUAAAGUGAAUUGAUGAUUCAAUUGAAUUCAACUUGCUGUGAUAAAAAACAGACCUAAAAAAAUAGUUUUCAUGAUUGAAAAAAACUAAAUCCUAAAAGAAAUCCUAUUAUUUAUACAAAAUAAUAAUUGCAACAUUAUGCCAAUAAGACUGAAUACUAGAUAAUACUGUAUGCCACCAUACCAGAGCCAUAUCUGGAAAGGAAUAAAGGAACAACAUUUGAAAAAAACAUUCUACAAUGACUAAUUUUAUAAUCCUGCUCUUUACUAUAUUUUCAGAAACAAAUGAUGGAGGCCUUACACAGAAACAUUUGUGGCCCUCUGAGUCCAGGAAUUAAUAGCCAACAUUUUUUUAAUUAAAAAUGCUAAAUCCCCAGGUUAAACUUGGGGCAGAAAGAAGUAUUUCAGUAAAGUUGAUAUCUUCACAUCAUGUUACAGCAACAACACUUUCAGAACUAAACCGUAAAUAACAGAAAUAGAUGAAUGGCUCUUACAUGAUGUGCAACAGUGUCUUUUAGUUCCCCAUUCGGCCUGUAUACAGGUUGUGAUGCACAACCCUAACUCUAACCCUAAUAUCAGCCAUUUAGAAAUAAAUACUCAUAAAAUUAUACAAAUUAUACACAGUCUAUUAUAGGUCGUUAGUAAGUGAGAAAAGACAGAAUCCAUACUGUCUGCCUAAUAGUGGAAAAACAUAAAAUAUCUUACAAAUGAGCUGUGAUAGUAAAUUUGCCUGUCAAAAAAUUUACUUUUUACUCUCAAUUGAAUGAAUCUCACUUCAUCUCAAUUUGCUAUGGUCAUUAAAAAAAUCAUUUUUUUAAAGUGAUGUAAUGUUAUUAAUUAAUGCUAUUACCUAAUAACUGGAACAUAAUACCGUUUGAAUUGUGUCUUAGAUUUAAAAGGCAAUGAACCAUAACAGAAACAAACAAAUAACUGCAGUGUCACAGUACUUACUGAAAUGGUACCAAGGAAUUCACAUAUAUUUACAAAAGUGAGAAACACAGCACACAAUUAUCAAACUAAACAACCAUGAACCAGCAGAUAGAGAAUAGCAACAGUGCUCGAUGUUGCUCUGCUGUUUUUUUUUGUAUAACUUCCCUUCUUCCUUGCUUUCAUUUAGUCCCAUAAAGCAGAGUUUUCAGUUGGCUUCAAAGCUCUUUGCAGAUCUCAGUUGGGGGCCUUCAAAGCCCCCUGUCUGUCGGCAGGUUUAGGCACAGAGAAAGCUUCUUGUUCUUUAAGGAUUUGGCUUACAAAUAACGCCCAGCCAGGGCCAAGGCAACUAGCUUGCACCCUGACAGGAUAGUAGACAGACUUCUGCAUUUUAGUGAUGUGUUUUGGGGGCUAUUCCUGCGUCUAUCUGAAAGUGAAGGCUUGGCCCUCUGCAGGCCUCCAUCAUACAAAGUGCUAGCAAUGGCCUCAAACAGACCCUCAGCUGCUGUGUGUUGCCUCUCUGUCUGUGCAGGAUAGAGUGCGGGAUGGAGGACCUUUACCAUGGCAACCACUAAUGCAGUGUAGAUGCAGGGACUAAGCCUUGGCUAGGGUUGUACUAAUACAGGAUUCAUAGAAGGCAGGUGUAAACUCUCGACCGGUGAACCACUCCUGCUUCCAUGGUGCAACAUGAAUCCAGCUGGAAGAACGAGUGCUGCGUGGGCUCCCCGAAGUGCUGCUACACUGGGUCAUUGGAGAGCCACAACGUGUUUGGGAACAGAGCAGUCGGUGUUAUUUCAGGCUGUGCUAAAAUAACCCAGAUGGAUGAAGGGCCAUUUCACAGGCAUUAUGGAUUAAUCUUUGGCAGCAUCCCUCCUGGAUCAAACGAAAUUGGAUGUUUAACCUCACGAGCUGAGAGGUCUCUUGUGAUUAACCAGGAUUGAGAGGAUUGAAUCUGACCCGCAUUGGGUUAAACAUCACAUACUUGUAAAUGUAUUUGAGCUAACUCCUGCUGAAAAGAUGAAAAUAUAGUGUGUACACACCUCCUUCCUCAUGUGAGUGUAAUCCAAACCCUGAUAACUAUAUACGUCAUAACAUUCCAGUAAAUCAUCACUAUAUACACACAAAUAGAAGACGUUAAUAGGCCUCUGUCAUUCACUUGAUGUCUAACAUAAAUAAAAACAGGUUAAGACUUUUGAGGAAGCCAUGCAAUCACCUGAUGCCGUGUUCAGGUGAAAAAAUGACCUUCUCAAAUGAAUAGUUGUAUUUAUUACUCCACCUUGCUGUUUAUAUCUGCUACACAGCUGCAACCUACCAUAUCUUCCCUCACUUAUUAUAAACUACAAAUCACUGAGUUCAGUUUGACAGGAGCAGUGAUGGAUAGGUCUAAACAGGCAUGGUGGAGUUUUACAUUUUACAUGCAGAAGUGCAUGUAACACAUAAAAGAACAAAUAAUAAAAAGCACUAUAGGCCUGGAGAUGUGAUGUGGAUAUAAUAAAUUCCUUGUAAACACCAAUAAAAUGGACCAUGCAAUAGGAAUGAAA